RNAcentral lists this ribosomal RNA (468 nucleotides) under uncultured bacterium. RNAcentral describes it as "partial 16S ribosomal RNA". It matches the Rfam family "Bacterial small subunit ribosomal RNA", at positions 28 to 507 of the family's 1533-position model. The record is from RNAcentral.
GACGAACGCUGGCGGCGUGCUUAACACAUGCAAGUCGAACGGAAAGGCCCUGCUUUUGUGGGGUGCUCGAGUGGCGAACGGGUGAGAAACACGUGAGUAACCUGCCCUUGACUUUGGGAUAACUUCAGGAAACUGGGGCUAAUACCGGAUAGGAGCUCCUGCUGCAUGGUGGGGGUUGGAAAGUUUCGGCGGUUGGGGAUGGACUCGCGGCUCAUCAGCUUGUUGGUGGGGUAGUGGCUUACCAAGGCUUUGACGGGUAGCCGGCCUGAGAGGGUGACCGGCCACAUUGGGACUGAGAUACGGCCCAGACUCCUACGGGAGGCAGCAGUGGGGAAUAUUGCACAAUGGGCGGAAGCCUGAUGCAGCAACGCCGCGUGCGGGAUGACGGCCUUCGGGUUGUAAACCGCUUUCGCCUGUGACGAAGCGUGAGUGACGGUAAUGGGUAAAGAAGCACCGGCUAACUACGUG